UUAAGUUCAGCGGGUAGUCUUGCUUGAUUUGAGAUCGAGUUUACAGAUCGCUUGCGCGACAUGUUAAAUCCUGCAUCAGUCAGCCAUAGCGACUCUUCAACCUUUAUGUUAGCUGCAGCAAAAGUAAUAAUCCGUUUGACGGGAUUAAAUAAGUAUGCUUAUAGCUCAGAAGAAAGAAUCUAGCUGCACCUGCAUUUCAA
Molecule: unclassified non-coding RNA, 200 nt
Filed under: Mortierella sp.
Lineage: Eukaryota; Fungi; Mortierellomycota; Mortierellomycetes; Mortierellales; Mortierellaceae
Description: partial internal transcribed spacer 2
Source: RNAcentral